UCCGCCGGGGCCAGCAUUUGGGCCUAUUUUCAUUCGGGUCUUCGGCCCAUUUGAGUCACCUGCACCUGUCCUAUACUAACAUAAAGAAAUUUUUUUUUUCUUUUUUUUCUUUGGGCCUUAGGCCCAAUUUUUCACCUGUCAUAAAUUCUAAUAAAAUAAUAAACAUAAUGACUAAAUAGGCUUAGGCCCAAUAAUAACAAAAUACAAUUUUUUUGCAUAAAGAGUGGGCCUUUGGCCCAAUCUUUUCAAUUCUCCUCUGCUUUCACAUUUUUUCAACUUCGGGACCUGUACGUCAAUUUUCAAUGGUCGGUUGACUCGAUAAAGGAGUUUGAGCCUUCAUGGUUCUCCCGAAAUGCAAAGGGGAGGCGAUAGGAGUUCAUAAUGAACUCGGACAGAUUUCACAUGCG
Molecule: long non-coding RNA, 407 nt
Filed under: Solanum tuberosum (potato)
Lineage: Eukaryota; Viridiplantae; Streptophyta; Magnoliopsida; Solanales; Solanaceae
Description: long non-coding RNA (STUB_LNC005234)
Source: RNAcentral